CCUUUUGCACGCCUGUUUAUUUUGUUUGCACUUCCACUCUCUAGGGUUUCUCCCUUUCCUCCAUCCGCUCUCGCAUCCACAGACUAAUACGCUCGCAUUCUCCACCAUUGGCGCGCGCAGGUGGAUCCCUGCGGUGGGGUAUUGAAGCGCAGAUCAGAUCCAGAUCAUCGACGCGAGGAACUGGAAUCGGGUAUCGGGGGUACUGGAAGCGCAGAUCAGAUAGGUGAGUUCAUGCCCUCCGCACUCCAAAUCUCUCUCCAUCUCGUCUUUGAUUUGAGUGCUUUUUUACACGGAGACACCAGCAUCUCGCGGGCUUGGAAUACGGUGGUGCCGGGUUUGAACCAGAGACGUCGGCAGCUCAUGGGGAUGAAAAGCGUAGGUUCAGAAUCAAAUUCCGACGUACAGAGUUUUGUUGAUAGCGGAAGGAUCCCUACUAGAGGAAAAAGCGCAUAAUGUUCGAAGAAACAGGGUGUGGAGUCGACUGUUUUCUAAUAUUUUUGAUGCAGUGGGGAGUGGAAAACAGAGAGCCCUAAAGAGGGGUGCACAAUAAGCAGUUGUUUUGCGUACCAUCAGCAACGUCUGUCAUCAGCUUGAGCAGGGAAGCAGCCCAGCAAUCCAGCAAGGUUUCAGAUGUUAUUUUUAUGCUAUAGCGAUGUAAAUGCUGGUUACAUUGUUUAAUCAUGGUUUGCUUGCUUUUGCCUGUGAAUUGAGUAGUUGUUUAAUUUAUUAAGUACAAUGAAUUUUAGCUCAUGUGCCUUUUGUUCAUCUUAUUUAACCUGUCAAGUAGAGUUUAUUGGUAUUUUCUGUAGACGCAGGCAGCUGCAACUUGACUUUAUUUAGUGCAAUUGAACAACAACGAAUAUCUUUCCAUUCCAUUGUUCAUUAGACAAUAACUUGGCUCUAAAUUAGGCAAUAAUAUAGGAGAAAUUAGGCAAUAAUGUUUUCCUAUAUAGGCAGUAAUGUUGGUUCCCAUUAAAAUUGUUUAUAUAGGCAAUAAUAACGGUUUCCAAUAAGCAAUAAUAUUAUUCUAUCUAGGCAUAACAGUACACUUCAUGACGCAAUUUUGUUUGAAUACCUCACAAUUCAUUUUUUUAUUGGUUGCCUUCAGUAAAUAGUUGACAUAAAACUACCAACAGAUGCUAAGGUAAGCAAAUUCUUCAGCCUACUAGUUAAGAGUUUUUUUGGCCUCCAUUACUUACGUAGUUGAAUAUUCUCUGAUUUUUGUCAUUUUUUAUCAUCACAUUGCAGGUUACCAGAGUAUUGAAUAUGAAUGCUUAUUGGAAGGCAUUUUGAGUAAUUAGAAGCAAAUAUUUUAGCAGUUGGGGAGUAUAUAUUUGAGUACAUUUUGCAGUUCUGAUUCAGAUAGUUCUGCAAUGAAAAAUUGUAGGCACCUAAAUAGAUAACUUUGCAGGUCUGAGAACUACGCUCUAAGACGCAUGAUGAUGCAUGACAUUUAUGUGUUCUUUUUUCCAGAGGGUUGAUGCUGUGUGUUCUUGAAA
Molecule: long non-coding RNA, 1499 nt
Organism: Panicum hallii
Lineage: Eukaryota; Viridiplantae; Streptophyta; Magnoliopsida; Poales; Poaceae
Exons: 6
Source: RefSeq, a predicted model, not a curated record